AAGCAUAUUAACAGCUUUAAUAUUCAAACUAUUACUUCAUUAGAUCGAAGAUUUUCAGAUAUUGAUUUCAAAAAUCUUUUACUUCAUUUGUUUUGAACAUGCUUUCUGCGAUAUACGACCUCAUUAGUCAGACCUUGUCGUUUAUUAUUGCUGACGUUGUCGAAAACAGAUGAUAGCCGUCUCUAACAUUAAGGCAAUUUAAUUGAAU
This is a long non-coding RNA of Bradysia coprophila, 208 nucleotides long. The record is from RefSeq and is a predicted model, not a curated record. Lineage: Eukaryota; Metazoa; Arthropoda; Insecta; Diptera; Sciaridae.